AACGAACGCUGGCGGCAUGCCUAACACAUGCAAGUCGAACGCUAUUUAUAGAGUGGCGCACGGGUGAGUAACGCGUGGGAACCUGCCUUUCUCUGCGGAUAACGGUUAGGAAACGACCGCUAAUACCGCAUACGCCCUACGGGGGAAAGGUCCGCCGGAGAAAGAGGGGCCCGCGUCUGAUUAGCUUGUUGGUAGGGUAAUGGCCUACCAAGGCGACGAUCAGUAGCUGGUCUGAGAGGAUGAUCAGCCACACUGGGACUGAGACACGGCCCAG
This 274-nucleotide ribosomal RNA is filed under the name uncultured bacterium. RNAcentral's name for it is "partial 16S ribosomal RNA". It matches the Rfam family "Bacterial small subunit ribosomal RNA", at positions 29 to 334 of the family's 1533-position model. The record is from RNAcentral.